This 465-nucleotide ribosomal RNA is filed under the name uncultured bacterium. RNAcentral's name for it is "partial 16S ribosomal RNA". It matches the Rfam family "Bacterial small subunit ribosomal RNA", at positions 339 to 795 of the family's 1533-position model. The record is from RNAcentral.
CUACGGGAUGCUCCAGUGAGGAAUUUUGCGCAAUGGGCGAAAGCCUGACGCAGCAACGCCGCGUGAGUGAUGAAGGCCUUCGGGUCGUAAAGCUCUGUCAAGUGGGAAGAACCUAUGUAAUGUUAAUAUCAUUAUAUACUGACGGUACCACUGAAGGAAGCACCGGCUAACUCCGUGCCAGCAGCCGCGGUAAUACGGGGGGUGCAAGCGUUAUUCGGAAUCAUUGGGCGUAAAGGGCACGUAGGCGGCCUGGUAAGUCAGAUGUGAAAGCCCGGGGCUUAACCCCGGAAGUGCAUUUGAUACUGUCAGGCUUGAGUAUGGGAGAGGGAAGUGGAAUUCCUGGUGUAGAGGUGAAAUUCGUAGAUAUCAGGAGGAACACCGGUGGCGAAGGCGACUUCCUGGACCAAUACUGACGCUGAGGUGCGAAGGCGUGGGUAGCAAACAGGAUUAGAUACCCUGGUAGUC